Non-coding RNA from Paramuricea clavata, 282 nucleotides. NCBI's taxonomy places the organism in Eukaryota, Metazoa, Cnidaria, Anthozoa, Malacalcyonacea, Plexauridae. The record is from the annotation of a GenBank genome assembly.
UCGAAAAGCAACUCCAGCGAAGGUCAAAUAUUUCGCGUGGUUCUCGUAAGUCAUCUACAGCGUCGAAACGUUCAAGUGCGUCAAACAGUUCUGUUCGUUCUGCAUUGGCUAAAGAAAGAGCAAGGACAGCGGAACUUAAAGCGAGGGCGUCGAUGCUGGAUAAAAGACAAACGUUAAAGAACGAAAUGGAAAAGAUGGAACUCGAGCAAGACUUGGCAGUGGCCCAAGCCAGAGAAAAGGUGUAUGCCGACGUAACUGAUGAAAAAGUGUCGACGACUGAGA